This 468-nucleotide ribosomal RNA is filed under the name uncultured bacterium. RNAcentral describes it as "partial 16S ribosomal RNA". It matches the Rfam family "Bacterial small subunit ribosomal RNA", at positions 28 to 507 of the family's 1533-position model. The record is from RNAcentral.
GACGAACGCUGGCGGCGUGCUUAACACAUGCAAGUCGAACGGAAAGGCCCUGCUUUUGUGUGGUGCUCGAGUGGCGCACGGGUGAGUAACACGUGAGUAACCUGCCCUUGACUUUGGGAUAACUUCAGGAAACUGGGGCUAAUACCGGAUAGGAGCUCCUGCUGCAUGGUGGGGGUUGGACAGUUUCGGCGGUUGGGGAUGGACUCGCGGCUUAUCAGCUUGUUGGUGGGGUAGUGGCUUACCAAGGCUUUGACGGGUAGCCGGCCUGGGAGGUUGGCCGGCCUCAUUGGGACUGAGAGACGGCCCAGAGUCCUACGGGAGGCAGCAGUGGGGAGUAUUGCACAAUGGGCGGAAGCCUGAUGCGGCAACGCCGCGUGCGGGAUGACGGCCUUCGGGUUGGAAACCGCUUUCGCCUGUUACGAAGCGUGAGUGACGGUAAUGGGUAAAGAAGCACCGGCUAACUACGUG